CAGCCGCCGCGGUAACACGAAGGGUGCAAGCGUUACUCGGAAUUACUGGGCGUAAAGCGUGCGUAGGUGGUGGUUUAAGUCCGUUGUGAAAGCCCUGGGCUCAACCUGGGAAUUGCAGUGGAUACUGGGUCACUAGAGUGUGGUAGAGGAUAGUGGAAUUUCCGGUGUAGCAGUGAAAUGCGUAGAGAUCGGAAGGAACAUCUGUGGCGAAGGCGACUAUCUGGGCCAACACUGACACUGAGGCACGAAAGCGUGGGGAGCAAACAGGAUUAGAUACCCCCGUAGUCCCUGUCUCUUAUAU
Molecule: ribosomal RNA, 301 nt
Filed under: uncultured bacterium
Lineage: Bacteria
Description: partial 16S ribosomal RNA
Rfam family: Bacterial small subunit ribosomal RNA
Source: RNAcentral